AGAUUGAACGCUGGCGGCAGGCCUAACACAUGCAAGUCGAGCGGUAGAGAGGUGCUUGCACCCCUUGAGAGCGGCGGACGGGUGAGUAAUGCCUAGGAAUCUGCCUAGUGGUGGGGGAUAACGUUCGGAAACGGACGCUAAUACCGCAUACGUCCUACGGGAGAAAGGCGGGGGACCUUCGGGCCUCGCGCCAUUAGAUGAGCCUAGGUCGGAUUAGCUAGUUGGUGAGGUAUGGCUCACCGAAGGCGACGAUCCGUAACUGGUCGUGAGAGGAUGAUCAGUCACACUGGAACUGAGACACGGUCAGACUCCUACGGGAGCAGCGAGGUGGGAAUAGUUCGAGAAGUGGGACGAAACGCUGACUACCGA
RNAcentral lists this ribosomal RNA (369 nucleotides) under uncultured soil bacterium. Its description in RNAcentral is "bacterial SSU rRNA". It matches the Rfam family "Bacterial small subunit ribosomal RNA", at positions 26 to 394 of the family's 1533-position model. The record is from RNAcentral.